GCAUAUCAAUAAGCGGAGGAAAAGAAACUAACCAGGAUUCCCCUAGUAGCGGCGAGCGAACCGGGAAAAGCCCAACUUGAAAAUCUGUGCCUUUCAGGCAUCGAAUUGUAGUCUAGAGAAGCUUCCUCUGCGACAGUCACCGCCAAAGUCCUCUGGAAAGAGGCGCUCGAGAGGGUGAGAGCCCCGUAGGCGGUGUGCCAGUCGCUCCACGAGGUGUUUUCGCAGAGUCGGGUUGUUUGGGAAUGCAGCCCUAAGCAGGUGGUAAAUCCCAUCUAAGGCUAAAUACUGACGGGAGACCGAUAGCGAACAAGUACCGUGAGGGAAAGAUGAAAAGAACUUUGAAAAGAGAGUCAAAAAGUGCUUGAAAUUGUUGAGGGGGAACGGAUUGGAGGUCACGGGUGCGCCCAGGCUUAUGUCUGCCUCGCGGUUGGCUGUAUGCGCUGGGUGCUGGUCAGCAUCGAUUGGGUGGGCGGGAUAAAGACGGGAGUUGUUAUCCCGUUCAUGUCGCCUGCCCGAUCGAGGUACCAAGGGCGCUCUCUGAGUCCUUCGGGAACUGCGUCCUCAGGAUGCUGGCGGAAGGCUUCCAAUCUACCCGUCUUGAAACACGGACC
RNAcentral lists this ribosomal RNA (611 nucleotides) under uncultured eukaryote. Its description in RNAcentral is "eukaryotic LSU rRNA". It matches the Rfam family "Eukaryotic large subunit ribosomal RNA", at positions 38 to 667 of the family's 3401-position model. The record is from RNAcentral.